UACAUGGUGGGAUUCAUUAUUGUGGAC
Molecule: non-coding RNA, 27 nt
Filed under: Rattus norvegicus (Norway rat)
Lineage: Eukaryota; Metazoa; Chordata; Mammalia; Rodentia; Muridae
Source: RNAcentral